AUUGGGCGUAAGGGCUCGCAGGCGGUUUCUUAAGUCUGAUGUGAAAGCCCCCGGCUCAACCGGGGAGGGUCAUUGGAAACUGGGGAACUUGAGUGCAGAAGAGGAGAGUGGAAUUCCACGUGUAGCGGUGAAAUGCGUAGAGAUGUGGAGGAACACCAGUGGCCAAGGCUACUCUCUGGUCUGUCACUGACGCUGAGGAGCCAAAGCGUGGGGAGCGCACAGGAUUAUAUACCCU
RNAcentral lists this ribosomal RNA (235 nucleotides) under Bacillus pumilus. RNAcentral's name for it is "partial 16S ribosomal RNA". It matches the Rfam family "Bacterial small subunit ribosomal RNA", at positions 553 to 788 of the family's 1533-position model. Lineage: Bacteria; Bacillati; Bacillota; Bacilli; Caryophanales; Bacillaceae. The record is from RNAcentral.